AUUGAACGCUGGCGGCAUGCCUUACACAUGCAAGUCGAACGGCAACAGGUCUUCGGAUGCUGACGAGUGGCGAACGGGUGAGUAAUACAUCGGAACGUGCCUAGUAGUGGGGGAUAACUACUCGAAAGAGUGGCUAAUACCGCAUGAGAUCUACGGAUGAAAGCAGGGGGUCGCAAGACCUUGUGCUACUAGAGCGGCCGAUGGCAGAUUAGGUAGUUGGUGGGAUAAAAGCUUACCAAGCCGACGAUCUGUAGCUGGUCUGAGAGGACGAUCAGCCACACUGGGACUGAGACACGGCCCAGACUCCUACGGGAGGCAGCAGUGGGGAAUUUUGGACAAUGGGCGCAAGCCUGAUCCAGCAAUGCCGCGUGCAGGAUGAAGGCCUUCGGGUUGUAAACUGCUUUUGUACGGAACGAAAAGCCCUGGGUUAAUACCCUGGGGUCAUGACGGUACCGUAAGAAUAAGCACCGGCUAACUACGUGCCAGCAGCCGCCGUAA
This 498-nucleotide ribosomal RNA is filed under the name uncultured bacterium. Its description in RNAcentral is "partial 16S ribosomal RNA". It matches the Rfam family "Bacterial small subunit ribosomal RNA", at positions 30 to 523 of the family's 1533-position model. The record is from RNAcentral.